Molecule: ribosomal RNA, 390 nt
Filed under: Ochromonas tuberculata
Lineage: Eukaryota; Chrysophyceae; Chromulinales; Chromulinaceae
Description: partial small subunit ribosomal RNA
Rfam family: Eukaryotic small subunit ribosomal RNA
Source: RNAcentral
GCUUGUCUCAAAGAUUAAGCCAUGCAGGUGUAUGUAUACACAACUUUAUACUGUGAAACUGCGAAUGGCUCAUUAAAUCAGUUACAGUUUAUUUGAUAGUACCUUACUACUUGGAUAACCGUAGUAAUUCUAGAGCUAAUACAUGCAUCAAUCCCCGACUUCCUGGAAGGGGUGUAUUUAUUAGAUGGAAACCAAUGCGGGGCAACCCGGAAUAUGGUGAUUCAUAAUAACUUUCGGAUCGUUUACGAUGCAUCAUUCAAGUUUCUGCCCUAUCAGCUUUGGAUGGUAGGGUAUUGGCCUACCAUGGCUUUAACGGGUAACGGAGAAUUAGGGUUCGAUUCCGGAGAGGGAGCCUGAGAAAUGGCUACCACAUCCAAGGAAGGCAGCAGG